UACGGGAUAACAUAUUUGAGAGGCAUCUCUUAAAUAUCAAAGGUGAGCCAGUACAGGAUGGACCCGCGUCUGAUUAGCUAGUUGGUAAGGUAACGGCUUACCAAGGCGACGAUCAGUAGCCGACCUGAGAGGGUGAUCGGCCACAUUGGAACUGAGACACGGUCCAAACUCCUACGGGAGGCAGCAGUGGGGAAUAUUGCACAAUGGGCGAAAGCCUGAUGCAGCAACGCCGCGUGGGUGAUGAAGGCCUUCGGGUCGUAAAACUCUGUCCUCAAGGAAGAUAAUGACGGUACUUGAGGAGGAAGCCCCGGCUAACUACGUGCCAGCAGCCGCGGUAAUACGUGGGGGGCUAGCGUUAUCCGGA
RNAcentral lists this ribosomal RNA (364 nucleotides) under Clostridioides difficile. RNAcentral's name for it is "bacterial SSU rRNA". It matches the Rfam family "Bacterial small subunit ribosomal RNA", at positions 167 to 549 of the family's 1533-position model. Lineage: Bacteria; Bacillati; Bacillota; Clostridia; Peptostreptococcales; Peptostreptococcaceae. The record is from RNAcentral.